This 486-nucleotide ribosomal RNA is filed under the name uncultured bacterium. RNAcentral's name for it is "partial 16S ribosomal RNA". It matches the Rfam family "Bacterial small subunit ribosomal RNA", at positions 30 to 507 of the family's 1533-position model. The record is from RNAcentral.
AUUGAACGCUGGCGGCAUGCCUUACACAUGCAAGUCGAACGGCAGCACGGGUGCUUGCACCUGGUGGCGAGUGGCGAACGGGUGAGUAAUACAUCGGAACAUGUCCUGUAGUGGGGGAUAGCCCGGCGAAAGCCGGAUUAAUACCGCAUACGAUCUACGGAUGAAAGCGGGGGACCUUCGGGCCUCGCGCUAUAGGGUUGGCCGAUGGCUGAUUACCUAGUUGGUGGGGUAAAGGCCUACCAAGGCGACGAUCAGUAGAUGGUCUGAGAGGACGACCAGCCACACUGGGACUGAGACACGGCCCAGACUCCUACGGGAGGCAGCAGUGGGGAAUUUUGGACAAUGGGCGAAAGCCUGAUCCAGCAAUGCCGCGUGUGUGAAGAAGGCCUUCGGGUUGUAAAGCACUUUUGUCCGGAAAGAAAUCCUUGGCUCUAAUACAGUCGGGGGAUGACGGUACCGGAAGAAUAAGCACCGGCUAACUACGUG